Molecule: ribosomal RNA, 483 nt
Filed under: uncultured bacterium
Lineage: Bacteria
Description: partial 16S ribosomal RNA
Rfam family: Bacterial small subunit ribosomal RNA
Source: RNAcentral
AUUGAACGCUGGCGGCAGGCCUAACACAUGCAAGUCGAGCGGAUGAAGGGAGCUUGCUCCUGGAUUCAGCGGCGGACGGGUGAGUAAUGCCUAGGAAUCUGCCUGGUAGUGGGGGAUAACGUCCGGAAACGGGCGCUAAUACCGCAUACGUCCUGAGGGAGAAAGUGGGGGAUCUUCGGACCUCACGCUAUCAGAUGAGCCUAGGUCGGAUUAGCUAGUUGGUGGGGUAAAGGCCUACCAAGGCGACGAUCCGUAACUGGUCUGAGAGGAUGAUCAGUCACACUGGAACUGAGACACGGUCCAGACUCCUACGGGAGGCAGCAGUGGGGAAUAUGGGACAAUGGGCGAAAGCCUGAUCCAGCCAUGCCGCGUGUGUGAAGAAGGUCCUCGGAUUGUAAAGCACUUUAAGUUGGGAGGAAGGGCAGUAAGUUAAUACCUUGCUGUUUUGACGUUACCAACAGAAUAAGCACCGGCGAACUUCGU